GGUCUCCGCACUCCUCCCGGGGCCUCCUACCGCCGCCGCUGGCCGGAGAGUCGCCGCCUGGGCCGCUGCUGUCGCCACCGAUGCAGCCGCGAAUGAAUGCACAGCGGCGCCUCGCUUAUCCGGAGGUCAAACAUCCUUCUGCCUCGAGCAUCCGGAUCGGGCCGGACCCGGAAGUGAACACAUGGAAAAAAAUAAAAGAGGAAAGCGUCUCUCCAGCGGCUGUGGAGGCCCCCGACUGCCCGCAGCGGCGAAAAGAGCCGAGCAGAGCCGAAGAUUACACUAACGUGCUCGGAUUGGUCGGAUCUCCAAGAGGAAGGCAGGCGGCGUGCUCAUUGGCUGGGGACUGCUCUAAAGGCUAAGCCCCGCCCCAUUCCCGCCUUCUGGCGAGCUCCUCCUGAGGCUGAGUGCGCCGCGGUUGAAGGUGCGAGUGUGUUUUUCCGGACUAGUCCAAGGCAGUGGAGGCUUGGCAAAGUGUCCGGAGAGAGCGAGGGGACAGCCCUGCCAUGGGUUAGGAGAGCUACUAAGAAUUCAGUGAGCAAACGGCCGUAAGGGCGCCGUUGGUGCCAGUCAAGGUGCCCAGCCUUGCUUUUACAGGUGCCAAGCCGUCCUAGGCCGGGCUGGAAGCAUGACAUCACCAGGCUGACGUUGUCUCCUGCUUCUCGCUGACCCCAGUGCUGUCAGGGAGUCGGGUGCUUAGAAGCACUGCCCGGCUCCGCCCUGCAUCUCCUGGGCCGUCUGUGAGGAGCGCCAUUCCGAGAUCUGAAUUUUGACAGCUUUUAGGCAAGAUUAACUGUCCAAAGAAUGUUGUUUUGCGAUAAAUGGAGUUAGUUCCCAUCCAUAGGAAUCAUGAAGUCUUCUGGCUGAAGAUGUAGAGUGCCAAGUAUGAGCUCCAGCUUCAUGUGGACCUCAAGAUCUGCCACUUGCCUGUCUCUCUAAUGUUUCCCAAGCUAUAGCACUGGAUUCUCCUUUGGUUACUUCUCCUAAAUGAAGCUGUAUCCUUUCCAAACCACUGUAGAGAAGGCGUAAACUUUAAGCUUGCUUUGGAAAUUUGUUCACUAGUUCCAGUUUUGACAAGAUUUUGCUUCUCUGGAUAAGUUCCUACUGUGAUGGAUUAUUUUCAGAUGACUAAACUUCAGUCAUUCUCCACUGACUAGGAUUGUUGGGUUACUCUAUCCUUCUGCUGGGUAGGACUACACUGCUGCCAAUGCUUAUCUAAGCCAUGUCUGACCUUCAUGUACCCUUUGGACAGUAAACAGGGAAGUCAGCCUCUUUGUCUAAUUAUGUUUCUUUGAUCUCUCAUAUUUGAUCAUACUUGGUCUUAACUGCAUCAUUCUCUUCACCAACUUGUACUGCUUAAUUCCUGACAUGUCAUCAUCCUCCAACUUAAUCUUAUUAAGUAUUGAUUCUAUAUCCGGCUGAACAAAAAUCACAAAGUCAACACGAGUUAAAAUUGAUGCAAGAGGAACCCUCACUUCUAUUUAGUUCUGUUUCACUGCUAUAAUUAGGAUUAUGCCACUUUUCAAUGUCCUUCUGUAUUUCUUCCUUGCACAAGCUUUUAAGUAGUCUAAACCUCAGUUCAUCUACAAAAUGGGACAAUAAUACCUAUAUCAUAUUUGAUAUCCACAAGAGUAAAUGCAAUAAUGUGUCUAUAAUAUAUUUACCACACUAUUUGGUAUAUAGUAAGUACUAAAUAGCUGUACUGUCUGAACCCUAGGAAUCUGUAUUUUAGAAGCCAACUGUAUUAUGAACAGUAAUAGAAGCUGAAAAUGUCAAAUAUCUAGCUAUUGUCUACUUUAAGAGUCUAAGACUUAGAACUGGACUUAGGACGCUAAGGUAAAACAUUUUUUAUUGAAUUUGAUUUAGGCCCUAUUAUUCUUUUUUACCAACUGUGUAUUGACAUUUAUGGGAUAAUGGCUAUCCAUUGUUUGUUUAUAAUUCCCUAGUAGAUUUCUACUGAGAUUUCUCCUAGUUGAGUUUUCACUACCUCACUCUAAAAGUAGUGAUCAGGGUCCCUACUUUUCAGUAAAAGUUUUAUAGAUGAGGGGGUAUCUGUGGAGAAUACAGUGCUCAAACAGUGCCAACUGAGUACCUUUUCUCUAGAUUUGAAUCUGGAACAGAGGAACAUGGAAACUAAAAACAGAAGGGCACUCCAUCCAAAAAGCAGCACUCUGACUACACAGUUUCUGCCACAAAACAGUGGAGAUCAUCCUACUUCCCUGUCUCUGUAGAAUUUUGGGUUCUGCCUAGACCAUGUCUUCCAGCUUCUGUCAAUUCUGUGAGACCCUCUUCCCAGCUGCCUUUUACUGAAUUCUAUUUUGCUUGCAAUACCUAGAGUGUAUUUUCAGUUUGCAACUGAAAAAUACUGAUGCUAGGCUUCAUUCCUGGCUUUUAUUUCAACUCUUCUCUGUGCCUCCUGUGUAUCCUUUCCUUGAGUGAUCUGACUGUGGGUCCACAUAAACACUUAAAUUCAAAGCCUUAGUUCAACUUUGGUUCAUUUCUUCAGCUUCAAUCUAAUGUAAUCUCUGUGUCAUUGUUGUGAGGCUCUCUGGCUUCAGGCUUAUGUUCUCCUAAUUGGCAAAGCUGGUCAUAGGGCUCUGCUGUGCCCUGUCACCAGGCAGCUCUACCUUGCUUCUUGCUGAAACCCUGCCAAUUGCAGACCUAACCCUUUGGAACAUGACUUAAUGCUUUGUAGUCUGCCAGUUUGGGUGACCUCUCCUAACAGAGAACAAAUUUCAGCCAAAUGCCAUUUCUUGCUGCUUUCUAGAAUGAUUACUUUAAUAUGCACUAGUGUAUAUUUGUCAAUUCAUAUUCAUAAUAACAUUCAAUAUAGUCCUGUAUCCCAUUUCUUAUACAUCAAUUAUAUUCUU
Chinchilla lanigera (long-tailed chinchilla) is the source of this 2867-nucleotide long non-coding RNA. RefSeq lists it as uncharacterized. The transcript is spliced from 3 exons. NCBI's taxonomy places the organism in Eukaryota, Metazoa, Chordata, Mammalia, Rodentia, Chinchillidae. The record is from RefSeq and is a predicted model, not a curated record.